This 549-nucleotide ribosomal RNA is filed under the name uncultured Rhizophagus. RNAcentral's name for it is "SSU rRNA". It matches the Rfam family "Eukaryotic small subunit ribosomal RNA", at positions 548 to 1098 of the family's 1831-position model. The record is from RNAcentral. Lineage: Eukaryota; Fungi; Glomeromycota; Glomeromycetes; Glomerales; Glomeraceae.
UUGGAGGGCAAGUCUGGUGCCAGCAGCCGCGGUAAUUCCAGCUCCAAUAGCGUAUAUUAAAGUUGUUGCGGUUAAAAAGCUCGUAGUUGAAUUUCGGGGUCAGUAGGUCGGUCGUGCCGCUGGUAUGAACUGGUUUUACUGAUUCCUCCCUCUUGAAGAACUGUAAUGCCAUUAAUUUGGUGUUGCAGGGAAUCAGGACUGUUACUUUGAAAAAAUUAGAGUGUUUAAAGCAGGCUUUAGCUUGAAUACAUUAGCAUGGAAUAAUGAAAUAGGACGUUUGAUCCUAUUUUGUUGGUUUCUAGGAUUGACGUAAUGAUUAAUAGGGAUAGUUGGGGGCAUUAGUAUUCAAUUGUCAGAGGUGAAAUUCUUGGAUUUAUUGAAGACUAACUACUGCGAAAGCAUUUGCCAAGGAUGUUUUCAUUAAUCAAGAACGAAAGUUAGGGGAUCGAAGACGAUCAGAUACCGUCGUAGUCUUAACCAUAAACUAUGCCGACUAGGGAUCGGAUGAUGUUAAUUUUUUAAUGACUCGUUCGGCGCCUUACGGGAAAC